Non-coding RNA from Acanthosepion pharaonis, 115 nucleotides. Lineage: Eukaryota; Metazoa; Mollusca; Cephalopoda; Sepiida; Sepiidae. The record is from the annotation of a GenBank genome assembly.
UUACGACCAUAUCACGUUAAGACACCGAUUCUCGUACGAUCACCGAAGUUAAGAAAACGAUGAGCCUGAUCAGCACCUAGGUGGGCGACCGCUUAGGAAUACCAGGUGUUGUAAG